GAUAGUCAUUAACAGGAACAUCCAGGCUGUGCUUGCACAAACUAGCAAUCCAGUGUGUACCGUACACCACGCUGCUAGAGAUGGGUCUAAAGUAUUUUUAUGCCCGUCAUUGGUAUGUGGCAUGAGGGUCAGAUUUAUUUCCCCUUUCAUACUAAAUGAACCUACAUUGUAAAACUACUCAGCAGUAGUGAAUAGACGGGGAAGAUCUCCAAAAAUGAUGCCGGGCCACAGAUCUCCCAUCUGCCACAAUGCUGGGACAUGGUGAUGAAUUUUCAUGGGGCGGAAAAGAACAACUAUCCUAUACCCAGAGAGAACAGCAGUGAUCGAAGAAGAGUGACCACAAAGGAGGUGCUGGGAGGAGGAAGGAUGUAAAAGAACUGUGGAUGGAGAAGGAUCGUGUCUAAUCCUCAGCAGCCACAAGAGCUCAAGCUCUAGUGAUAAAAAGAUCUAGCAAUAAUCCAACCUCUCAACAAAGAGACUUAAUAUCCUGAGGGGUGAGAUCCACUCAGCCGCACAGGGUCAUCAGCUGAUUUAAUCCAGCUGGGUUUUGUACAGAUACAGUUACGGGAUGCCUGGAGGGCUCAGCGGUUGAGCAUCUGCCUUUGCUCAGGGUG
Molecule: long non-coding RNA, 614 nt
Organism: Canis lupus familiaris (dog)
Lineage: Eukaryota; Metazoa; Chordata; Mammalia; Carnivora; Canidae
Exons: 3
Source: RefSeq, a predicted model, not a curated record